RNAcentral lists this ribosomal RNA (433 nucleotides) under uncultured bacterium. RNAcentral describes it as "partial 16S ribosomal RNA". It matches the Rfam family "Bacterial small subunit ribosomal RNA", at positions 29 to 507 of the family's 1533-position model. The record is from RNAcentral.
AGCGAACGCUGGCGGCAGGCUUAACACAUGCAAGUCGAGCGGGCACUUCGGUGUCAGCGGCAGACGGGUGAGUAACACGUGGGAACGUACCCUUUGGUUCGGAAUAACGCUGGGAAACUAGCGCUAAUACCGGAUACGCCCUUUUGGGGAAAGGCUUGCUGCCGAAGGAUCGGCCCGCGUCUGAUUAGCUAGUUGGUGGGGUAAUGGCCUACCAAGGCGACGAUCAGUAGCUGGUCUGAGAGGAUGAUCAGCCACACUGGGACUGAGACACGGCCCAGACUCGUACGGGAGGCAGCAGUGGGUAAUAUUGGACAAUGGGCGCAAGUCUGAUCCAGCCAUGCCGCGUGAGUGAUGAAGGCCUUAGGGUUGUAAAGCUCUUUUGUCCGGGACGAUAAUGACGGUACCGGAAGAAUAAGCCCCGGCUAACUUCGUG